CGUGCAGGCGGCCUAUUAAGUCAGAUGUGAAAGCCCUCGGCUCAACCAAGGAACUGCAUUUGAAACUAAUAGGCUUGAGUACGGGAGAGGAGAGUGGAAUUCCCGGUGUAGAGGUGAAAUUCGUAGAUAUCGGGAAGAACACCGGUGGCGAAGGCGGCUCUCUGGACCGAUACUGACGCUGAGACGCGAAAGCGUGGGGAGCAAACA
Molecule: ribosomal RNA, 207 nt
Filed under: uncultured bacterium
Lineage: Bacteria
Description: partial 16S ribosomal RNA
Rfam family: Bacterial small subunit ribosomal RNA
Source: RNAcentral